CAUAUGCCACAGGUGUGGCCCUAAAAAACAAACAAACAAAAAAUAGGAAGCAUACGUUUAAUUGUUGGAUUUUUAAAAAGAGUUGUAGGGGUGGACUAUAAAAACUUAAGAACAUAGCUUUUAUUGUUGCCAAGGAAAUUUGGGAGUUAAUAAAACUAGAAAUACUAGUAAUGUCAGUACUGAAAUAAGGAAAUAAAUUUCUAUAUGUUGUGGAAAUAAGUGUUAGAAGGUCUAUGUGGCAUAAACUUAAAGGAAAGUGAAAUUUGAUUUAAUUAAUUCAUUAUUUUGCUCAGCCAUUAAAUAAAUGUUGCAUGAAUUCCUACCAUGUGUAAGUCUUGUGCUGGGCCUUGAAGAAAGAACAAAGAUGAAUAAAACAUGUCUCUUGCCUGGGGGCACUCACGGUCAUGGUCUAGUGAACGAUAAUAAAAAUCUAAGUACACGGAGAGAAGGAUUUGUGUGAUCAAUGUGUUGGGAAUUAAAGUCUGGUAGGCCAUCUAUCCACAAUGGUUGAUUUAUCGAUUUUUACCUUAUCUUAUUCCAGAAAGAAUGUUUUAGGAAUGAGAUCGACACAAUGAAACAAAUAUGAAAUCUGAGGUGUUAAGGAAGAGAAAAAAGAAAAAUUACUCUUACAAAGAUGGCGAUAAAUAUGCAUCUCUCUUUCCAAAGGAUAAACUACAACCCCACCAAGUUUGAAAUAGGGAUAAAAGAAGAAAACACUGAGAAAGGAAAAGAUGAUGAGUAGAAUGUUGACUGCUUUCAAAUUGAAAGAAUGGAAUGAAAUGCAUAUAUUUCAAAUGUUGUUAAAGUUACUUGCUAAGGCUUUGAAAAAUUAAAUAGCAUCUCUCAGUAUGAGAUGAUAUCCAUAAAUGUGCUUUAAGCACUUCAAGAAGAAAAUAUGUGACACUUACUCUUUGCUAUUUUUUACUUCGUUAUUUAUCUUUUUUAAAUCAUUUUGCUUAUUAUUAUCAAAUCUCCAUGACAUUAAAAAUGAAAAAUAAAGAGAUGAAAAGUUUAAAUCAUCAUAUUUUCUUUACAGCUUCAAUAGGGAUUUGAUGAAAAUUUUAUAUUUUGGCAACAUCUUGGCUCUUGAACUUACUCCCAGACCAGCUACAAAUUUGUCCUAUGGCCUAAGGCAUUGAAACACAGCAGAGCCUUGCAAUAAUUUUUUGUCAGAUCAGACAACCCAAUUAUUCCAUUUUCCCAGGUGUCCCAGUGACAUAUAUUAUUGUCAACAACAGAGUUGCUUCAGCUUUAAGUUUAAAGUAUCUGCUGGGUGUGCAGACUCAGGUAUGCCUUUUACCAUCUAGCUGAAAAGGUACAGUGCACUUUAGAGUGGUGGAGUUUGCUCUCAUUCAUGCAUCCAUCCUUACAUUGUCUGUUUUGUCCUUAGUGAAAAAGAAAGAAUGCCACCUACUGGAUGUGGGUGUAGGAAGAGCAUAUUGACAUAAAAAUGUACUAUCUUUGAAGUAACAUAUUACUUUGAAACAAUUGUGUAAGAAAAAAAUCCCAAAGACCGUCUUAUUACACUAGCAAUAAUUACAUACAUUUGCUUAACUGAUUUUAUUCUGUCGACACUGAAUAGAAAUUAUUUUAGAAUUUCCAUCUAAAUAUUAAGAAAUAAAGAGUCUCUCUGUUGUCUUAUAUUUUAUUUUCUAAAAGAAUUUUUUUUUUCUUAGAGCAGUUUUAAGGUUCAUUGCAAAAUUAAGAGGAGGGCAGAGAGAUUUCUCAUAUAAUCUGCCUCUACACAUGCAUAGCCUCCCCCAUUAUCAGCAUCAUUCGCUGGAGUGGUGCAUUUGUUACAAGUGAUGAACCAACAUUUACCAAUUACAAUAAACUGAAGUCCACAGUUUACAUUAUGGUUCACUCCAUUCCAUGGUUUUGGACAAAUGUAUCAUCCCAUGUAUCCAUAAUUAUAAUACACAGAGUGUUUUUUACUGCCCUUAAAUUACUCUGUGCUCUGCCUCUUCAUGCCAUUCUCCCUCCCUUGUGGCAACCACUAAUCUUUUUAUUGUCUCCAUAUUUUGCCUUUUUCCAAAAUGUAAUUGGGAAGAUAGAGCAUGUAGCCUUUUCAGAUUAGCUUCUUUCACACUUAGUAAUAUUUAAGUUUGUUUCAUGUCUUUUCAUCACUCCAUAGCUCCUUUCAUUUUAGCACUGUACAAAAUCCCAUUGUCUGGAUGUGCAAGUUUAUUCAUUUACCUGAAAGAUAUCUUGGUUGCUUCCAAUUUUUGGCAAUUAUGAACAAAUGCCAUGAACAUCUGUGUGCAUUUUUUUGUGUAGAUAUAAUUUUCAACUCGUGGGAGUAAAUAUCAAGGAGCCUGAUUGCUGGAUUAUAUGGUGGAAGAGAGUGGCUGGUGUUGGGUAUUUCCUUUUCCACAGAAGCAUGAGGAGGUUUUCUCCAGUAUACAUACGUGGAAAUCUGGUUGAACUCCUGGAGGUAAAUCUUCCCAAAUCGUAAGUUCUCCCCUGUGAGUGAGUUGCCCUAGAAUUUCUAGCUUUCAGUGUUGUCCAUAUUGAGCCUUCAUCAAUUCAUCCAUCACUGUUCUGAUUUUCCUACCCUGUGUUUCCUGUGUUUGAUUUAGCUCAUGAAUAUCUGCUCUGGUGAGUUAUUUUCUGUAUUUAUUGGGGGAAUUUCUAAACUUGGGGGCAGCAAUUUUCCCUGUAGCCUCACCUCUUUUAAGGAUCCUAGAAGAGUUGUUGAUUUUUCAGUAUAUUCAGCUUUUUACUUGCUGUUAAGGUAGAGUGGCAGCUUACAAGAGCCUUACAUGUGGAACGGUGAACUGGGAGUCUGGUUUGUACAUUUUAAAACUUAUUGCCUUUUACCAAAUAAUAUAUAUCUUCUUGUGUUUUCUAUGUAAAAAAGAUUAAUUUUCUUGACAAUGUAAUCCUAUUACAUGGAAAACUCAGAUUAUAUAAAGACUGAAAACCCCUAAAACCUGGAUCCUAGUAACUAAAUGUGAUCAAUGUUGAGGAAGAGAAAGCAGCUCUCCUGGUCAAUGAUUUUCAUCAGUAUGAGGUCAUCAUUUUAGGUUUAACUUGUUGUAUUGUAUUCUUUUUAAGUCUCUAUUAUUUACUCCAUAGAAAACUAAUUAUCUUUAUAAAAAUACCCAUUAGUCCUCUUUGCUUUCAGAUGCUCUAAUAUUUAUGCCUCUUGGGUCUUUAUACCCAGACACCUUGGAAUACCACCUUCUCAUCGAAUAUAAACUCUAGGUUUUAUAAGUAUAGCACGCUUUCCCCAGAAGUCAGAUUCAUGCCUUAAUCUACCAUGAAAUUUAUGUUAUCAUAAAUCCCCGUUUUUACUAUUUGUGUUAAAAUAAGAGCUUGUAAGUUCUUGAGUUCUAGAGUUUCAUAAUCUUUUAUUUAGGGUUUACUCAUUUAACAAAUACUGUGUGUAUUUUAUGCCAGGUGUUAAGAACCAAUUAUCAACACACAAAAUGAUCUGCUAUAAUGGAAUUCAUAGUUUAGUGGAGAAUUUUCAGCACAUUGUUCAGUUAUUACCACAACAUAUAGUAUAAUAAUAUGCUAUAUAUCCAUAAUCUGGAAGUUACAUUUACGAAGAUCAGACUUGUGGUAUAUUUUUCAAAUUGGCUCAUUCAGUAUCCAUUGAUAGCUCCUUUUAUACUUCUUUUUUUUAGUAUAUAGUCUGCAAAGGUAAAAUCUGCAUUUUUUUCAUAUUUCUUAGAUGUGAGGUUUCCUUGGAGAAGCCAAGUGAUACUAGAAAGAAAAGUGGAGAAAUCAUAGCUGUGGCUGUUGUGAUACUGGGUCUAGUGUAUGAUCUCUAGCAACAAGGAACUGAGCAGUGAACAUUGGUUGUAGUAAGCUUUCCCUUGAGACAUUCCUGUGAUGUGGGUGUACAUUUCUCCAAGGAAGAUUCCUUUUCCUUGGCUUUGUAGCAACCAAGCUUGGUUUCCUGGCCCUUUUAGAAAUUCUUUAAUGUAUCUUAAUACUUUGAAAUAAUUCCUUUUCUCAUUAACCCAGCUAAAGGAGACUCUGUUAUUUAGAACAAGGACCAUCUCAGUAGAGUAUGCUUUCUAAGUCUCCAUUAAAGAUCUUUCUACAGGAACUUAGAUAUUGAAUGAUCUUAAAUCUGAUUUCAUAUGUUAAUUUAUGGGCUUGUGGUACCCAUAACCCCUGGUUGAAUAAACUUGCAGUCUUCACCAAUCUGAGCUGAGAGCCCGAAAUUUGAUUUCUGGUGGGACUUGUUGUUGUUACUUUUACGUUUUUUUAAAACUUGGACUCAAGACUCCAGACCAAUGGCAAACUUUCUUCAAGCAUAAAUAUUUCCUAUCCCUGUUAUACAGACUAUAAAGGCUUUUCAGACUCUGGAAUUUAUGAAGCUUCUCUGCCAAAUACUGGAUUUAAAAUCCUAGCCCUUGCUCUUAAGACCUUAUAUCAAGCUCUGAACUCUUAAGGGUUGCUCAUUUAUCAUUAUUCCUUUUUUUUUCUUUGUUCAUGUGACAUUUACUUUAUUUUGAAUUCAUAGCACCUGUGGUAUUUUAUUUUGAGCUCAUAAAGUGUUGAAAUUUUAUUUUUUUUUAAUUUUGUGUCUUAUAGUUAGUAAUGUCAGUCAAUGUCUAUUUAUUCCUCCAUAUUGCUGUAAGUCUGUGUUUUAAAAUGUCUAUCAAUAAUUAAAAAUUUUAGAGUGUAUCCUUAUUAGAUUGUAACAUUUAUGAUGAUUUCCUACAAAAGGGCAGGGGUUGGUAUGUAGUCCUGGGGAAAGAAAAAGAUAUUUAAAGGGGAAGAAAUCUUUGUGCAUUGCCAGCACUAUCUAAGGUAGGAGCUAUUUUGUUUUGGAGCAUUAGAACUAAUUAUCUAGAACUAUACUAUUGAAGGCAGUGGCUAUUAGCCGAAUGUGGCUAAUAAAUUUGUUACAUUAUAUAAAUUUCAUAAUUCAGUUCCUCAGUUACAUUAGCUACAAUUCAGGUGCUCUAUGGCCACAUGUACUAAUCGGUACUGUGCUGGACACCUACUGUGUAUCAGACACUGUUGUAGUCCUUGGCAUUACGUGAGAACAUAGCCCCUAUCCUAAGGAGUUAUGCUGUAGUCAGAGAAAAGAGAGAAUACACAUGUGUCAUAGCAAUAAAUAAAUAAAUAAAUAAAAAUUAAAGAACAAAAAAGAACACUUUAGGUAUUGCUCUGUAAUGACAAAGAUAAGAUAAUAUUCUAGUGACUAGAGGGCUGCUACAUAGGUAGAUUGAUAAGUGAAGGCUCUUUGAAUUUGCAGAUGAAUGUUAACAUUGUGAUAAAAUGCAAAGCUCUUGAAGAGUGUAUGAAACAGAUAGAACAAUAAGCAUAGGAUCUCUAGAUAGAAGAAACUUGACAAGUUUAAGGUACAGGCACAAAGACCAGUGUGACUGGAGAUGAGUGAAAGGGAUCAAGAGUAGAGGGGCGAUGACAUUAGAGAAGCUGGUCCAAGAGUUUGUGUGUUCUGUUGGUUUCAGUAAGAAGCUAUUGAAUUUUAAACAGAGUAGCAGCAUGACCUCAUAUAUACUUACAAAAAAUAAUGAAUAAGUUGAGAGACAGAAGGACUAACUUUAUAAAAGCUGACUCUUCAACUGAGUUUUGAAAACAUUUCUGCUGCUUCAUCAUCAUUUAUUACAUUGCUCUUUUCCACAAUAUGAGGGAAGGAAGUUCUGCCUUGUAGUCUUUAGUCAUAACUAUUUUUUCCAGGCCACUUGGUGGACUUUGUUUGGGCAGGGAUCUUGGUGUCUGGAGAGGAUAGACUGGGGGACUGGGAUGGUGAAUUAAGAGUGGAUGAGUAGGUUGCACUUAAUAGGGAAUAAGUUAGGCAUGCCAAUUUAGCUAAAGUGAAAAAGAAAAGAAAAAUUAUCACGUGUAAAAUUUCCUUCAAUAAAUGAAAUGUGCUCAACUGAUUUCUCAUCCCAUCUCACUAAUAUUAUCAAAACUAAAGGUUGAUAUCUUCUUUUAAGGACAUUGAUUAGCUACCUGCCUAUGACUUUUUUGAAGCGCCAUCAAUGCAAAUCUAGUGGGGCAGAAAGAUACAAGUUCAAAGCACCAGAGGAUAAUAUUUUCAACUGUGUCUGCAUUGUUUAAUGAGACAAUGAAUUCAGUGGACUUCAAAUGUGUCAUGUCUUGUAAAUCACUGGGUUAUUAACUUUAACAGGGUGAGUGGAUGUACUGUUCCCAUCUCCAUUUCACAGCAUUAGUACUCUAGAUAAUAGGGAACGUGGGGUAAUAAUCCUUACAUUAUUGGCUUAUACUUGUAGAGUGACCCUUUUAAAUAUGAGGGAUUUGGAAGUAAAGUGCAUUUCUUUGCAUGAGAAAAAGAGGAAAAAUAUGAAAAUUUAGAUUUAAAAAACCUAAAUUUUAAUUUUCUCUUUAUUUUUAGACAUGAUGUGAAUUGGAUGGCAAAUUAAAAUUUGCGUUUAUGGGCACAAGUUCUUAUUCAAUUUUGCUUAUUUUGCUAAUCUUUGGUAGUUUUAUGGGUUUUAAUUUCAGUGUAAUAGCAAGAAAAACAGUGCAAUUGCUGUGCUCUAUGAUUUACAAUGUGCAUUUAAGCUAUUUCUUGGUGGAAUUGCCACGAAGUUAUAUGUUCUCUAAUAUUGCUCUAGUGGUCGCAAAGAGUUAAUGUAUCCUAAUGCCUUAGUGAUUAGUGUCCAUUUGCUUGGGUAAUUUGUUUCUACACAGGUCAGUAUAUUUCAAAAUUAUUUCACAUUGAUAAUAGCUUGGCUGGUUUGGGGUAUGACCAGAUUUUGCAUUUCAGGGACUCAUUGAUGUAUCAAGAGGCUGCAACUGUCAUAAUUAAGAAGAAAAGACAUUUAAGCCACCAUAGGCACAAGAUACUGCUGUGAUAAAUUGAACCUACAAAAUGAAGUGAAUGGCCAUUAUGCAUAUGCAAUCUUGUUUUACUUAGUUUCUCUUCAUUGGUUGGGCAUGAAUCUAGCCUUAGGCACCAGGCUGAGGAAGCAUUAGUACUCAAUUGCCAAAUGGCCUAGGUUUAAGAUUCCCAUCCACUCAUAGAUUGGUUUGUGAGCUUUAUCAAGCAGGACGGUAUGAAUAGGUAAGGAAACACUUUUGCCUUUUCUCUUGACUAAAUUAAUUACAUCUUAAUGACAAAGUUUCUGCUUAUGAGUCACAGUUGUCAUUGAGCUGUUCUGCUAGUUAAAAUCAUGUGAAUUUUCUGCCUAUCAUCUUAAAAAACGGUAAUUUCUAUACCAUUAUUGGAAUCAGAAAGAAAAGGAAUGUAAAAUAAAACAGAUGAAGAUUAAUAUGAUAGUUUCUCAAUUUUUGUGGAAUGAACCAAUCUUGGUAACUUUGUGCUAUGAGUUCUUACUUGUCUAUGCUAAUUGGAAUGAGAAGGGAAAGAAAAGCUCCCUGCCCUUUUGUUCCUCCUGGAUUUAAAAUCACCGAACAGAUGCCGUGAUAUAAACCUGCAUUUAAGUCCCUUAUAUUUUUCUUUAUAGACACAAUUGUGAAUUGUGUUCUUCCUGCAUUUGUAAUUAGAAGGUGAAACAGAUGGCAAAGGAUCAGUGUAAAGAGAUGUCCAUUAAAAUAACUUAUGUUGCCAAGUGAUUGUUCACUUUAAGUGGGGAACUCAAUUUCCACCAUGCAAAAGAAAAAAGUGGCACAUGCACAUCUUGAAGGAACUCCGUUAUGUGGGGCAAAUAACACAGGAGCUGGACUAUACUUUGAAAAUACUAAAAAUAUAGACAUAUAAACAACUACCUUUUUAAAAAAACAAAUAAGCAUUGUUGGAGAUGAGAAUUGAGGUCAGUUGGAAGCCCUUCAAGGUACAAUUUAAUGUACUAAUCUUAUCUUCUCCUAAGCCUGCUGUAGAUAUACAGGAAAUGUGUGGUAUAUUUUUUUCUCUCCGAAAUUUUAGCCAUUAAUAUAGAAGCAAAUGUAGCAUUACUAGGAGUGAUUUGAGAUACAUCCCUCUGUGUAUUAAAUAUAUAUUUAGGAAGGAACCAUAGUUAAGACGUUUUCAGCUCUCACAUGAAGUAGCACAACAUAGUGGUUAAGAAUGAGGAUUCUGGAGUUAGCUCCUCAGGGUUUGAAUUGUAUCUGCCAUUUACCCUUUCAGUGAUGUUGGGGAAAUUCUCUAACAAUUUCGUGCUUCAAUUCCUUAGUGUGUCAAGUUGGAAUAACUAAAAAUGCUAAUCUCAAUGGUUUGUUGUGCCCAACAAAUGUAUUGAAAUUUUAUUAUUAAAUAAAUAACACCUUCAUGACCAGAAUUUAAUGUAACAUCAUCUAAAUAUUUUAUUUUUAAUCUUUUCUUUUUUACAAAAAACCUUUAAUAAACCAUUUGUUUCCAAAAAGAAGGAAACUACAGUUUUUCUGCCCAAAAAAGUGGACUUUUUAAAAUUUUAAAAUUUAAUUUAUUUGCCUACAAUUUAAGACAGAUCUGUACAUAACUGUAAGUCUCGAGUUCUAAGCUUGGAAAAAUUCCUUGUCUGGUGCUUGUGUUUUUGACAGCUUUUCCUGUCCACUCAGAGCUGAAGAAUUUAAUAUAUAAAACUGUUAUCAACAUGAAACGUACACAGUGAUGUACUCGCAUGAAGGAAACUAUGCAGCUAUUAGCUCAGUAUGUGAGAAUUUUCAAUUUGAGUGACAUAAAUCUGUAUGUUUCCCUAUCUACCAAUAUAAACGUAUUUUUUAUGCCUUUAUGUUGGCAUGGUUCUGGGCACUGCAUUUUUAAGAUUGACUCAGAUUCUGCUCACAGGGAGCUUGUUUUUACAGGAUGGACACCUUUGUCUUUUCAGCCCUGUUCUUUCUGCACAGGAAAGGAGAAAAAAAUAGCUAAAGACCUCUUGGGCCAUCUGUGAGAUUAGUAGAACCUGUAAAUCCUAGGUUUACUCAAUCUCUAGAACUGCAACCAAAAUUUGAAUAUUGUGUCAGCUUCAUGUGUAACCUUGGUUGCCUUCACUUUGAAAGUAAGAUUGCAGCUCUUUAUCAUAGAGUUGUUAGGAAGAGUACUUGCAUUGGUCUAGUGUAGUUUCUAGAAAAUAUUUGAUAGUCAAUAAACAAAUUGAAUUACUCCCCCCCUCUUUUUUAAGAUCCCACCUCAAAUAACUUCAGUGCACUCUAUUCAAGAUACUAUUUGAAGUCUAAUGCCAAAGCUGUGUACUUCUUUAUGUUAAUAUUUGGUAAUAGAUGUUCCAAAUCCCAAAGAUUUAUAUCUAGACAUAAGGGCAUAAACUGAUAUAUUAAACAUCAAUAGCAAAAUAGGAAUAAUAAUAGCUACCAUUUACAUAGCACUUCUGGUGUGCCAGGCAAUGCUGUCCUAAGCACUGUCCAUAUGUUCACUCACUUAAUCCUCACAACAGUCCUAUGAAGUUGUUGUUAUUAUUUUUCCUCAGGCUCAGGGAGAUUAAAACCUUCCCAAGGUCACACAGUUAGUAUUGAUGAAGUUGGAAUUUAAACUUAGCAGUUAGCAUUUGCAUUGAUGCACUCAAGCACUACAUCUUGAAACUAGAAGGAUUUCAUAAAGUCGGAAACAGGGAAAACACUGUACCAUAUAAUUUUUUUAUUGUUAUUUCCCUAACACAUUUUUUUUCCCACUGUACAGCAUGGGGACCCAGUUACACAUACAUGAA
Non-coding RNA from Sus scrofa (pig), 9554 nucleotides. NCBI's taxonomy places the organism in Eukaryota, Metazoa, Chordata, Mammalia, Artiodactyla, Suidae. The record is from RefSeq and is a predicted model, not a curated record.